RNAcentral lists this long non-coding RNA (2211 nucleotides) under Taeniopygia guttata (zebra finch). RNAcentral's name for it is "lncRNA (ENSTGUG00000019894.1)". Lineage: Eukaryota; Metazoa; Chordata; Aves; Passeriformes; Estrildidae. The record is from RNAcentral.
AUGGGGAAAAAAACGGGAAAAAAUUCCAAGAUUUUAGGCCGAAACGGGGGGAAAAAACGGGAAGAAAAUCUGAGAUUUUUAGACCAACUUAUCCCCAAAAUGAGGCAAAAACAGGAAGAAAAUCCAAGGUUUGAUCUCAAAUAUCCCAAAAUGGGAAAGAAUUCCAAGGUUUUAUCUCAGAUAUCUCAAAAACCAGGAAAAAUUCCAAGUUUUUUUCCCAAAUAUCCCAAAACAGGAAAAAAUUCCAAGGUUUUAACUCAACUAUCCCAAAAAUGGGAAAAGAACAGGAAGAAAAUCCAAGGUUUAGUCUCAAGUAUCCGAAAAUUGGAAAGAAUUCCAAGGUUUUAUCUCAAAUAUCCCCAAAAUGGGUCCCUCCAAUCCCAAAAUUCCAACCAGGAACGAAGAUCCACCUUGGUUAUUCCUGGAUUUGGGUCCGAAAACCCCAAAAUUCCAUCCAGGAUCCGAGAUUUGGGUCCUCAAAUCCCAAAAUUCCAUCCGGGAUCCGAGAUUUGGGUCCUCAAAUCCCAAAAUUCCAUCCGGGAUCCAAGAUUUGGGUCCUCAAAUCCCAAAAUUCCAUCCGGGAUCGAAGAUUUGGGUCCUCAAAUCCCAAAAUUCCAUGUGGGAUCCGAGAUUUGGAUCCUCAAAUCCCAAAAUUCCAUGUGGGAUCCGAGAUUUGGAUCCUCAAAUCCCAAAAUUCCAUCCGGGAUCCAAGAUUUGGCUCCUCAAACCCCAAAAUUCCAUCCGGGAUCCGAGACCCACCCUGGCUUUUCCGGGAAUUCCCGGAUUCCCCCAGACACGGGAGGAGGAAGAACGGAGCAACCCAAGGGUUGGGAAAAUCCCAAAAACUUGAAUUUGGGAAAAUCCCUGAAUCCCAAUUCAGGUGCGGUCCAUGGCCAGGUCUGGAUCCUGAUCCUAAACCUGGUCCUGAUCCUGAUCCUGAUCCUAAAACGAAUCCUGAUCCUAAACCUGAUCCUGAUCCUAAUCCUAAUCCUGAUCCCAAUGUCUAAUCCUAAUCCUAAUCCUAAUCUUAAUACCAAAACUAAUCCUGAUCCUAAUCUUGAUCCUAAUCCUGAUCCUAAACCUGAUCCUGAUCCUAAUAUAAAACUAAUCCUGGUCCUAAACCUGAUCCUGAACCUGAUCCUGAUCCUAAAUGUGAUCAUGAUCCUGAUCCUGAUCCUAAUCCUGAUCCUAAACCUGAUCCUGAUCCUAAUCCUAAAACUAAUCCUGAUCCUAAACCUGAUCCCGAUUCUGAUCCUGAACCUGAUCCUAAAUGUGAUCAUGACCCUGAUCCUGAUCCUAAUCCUGAUCCUAAAACUAAUCCUGAUCCCAAUCCUGAUUCUGAUCCUAAAACUAAUCCUGAUCCUGGUCCUAAUCCUGAUCCUGGUCCUAAUCCUCAUCCUGGCCUUAAUUCGAAUCCUAAUCCUAACCCAAAUCCUAAUCCUAAAACUAAUCUUGAUCCUGACUCUAAUCCCAAAUCCCAAUUCAAGCACGGUCCUAGGCCAGGUCCUGAUCCUGAUCCUAAUCCUGAUCCUGAUCCUAAUCCUAAAAUUAAUCUUGAUCCUAAUUCUGAUCCUGAUCCUAAUCUUGUUCCUAUACCUGAUCCUAAUCCUGAUCCUAAUCCUGAUCCUAAUCCUGACCCUAGUCCUGAUCCUGAUCCUGGUCCUAAACCUGAUCCUAAUCCUGAUCCUGAUCCUAAUCCUAAAACUAAUCUUGAUCCUGACUCUAAUCCCAAAUCCUGAUUCAAGCACGGUCCUAGGCCAGAUCCCGAUCCUGAUCCUAAUCCUGAUUCUGAUCCUAAAUGUGAUCAUGACCCUGGAUCUUGAUCCUAAUCCUGAUCCUAAUCCUGACCCUGGUCCUAAUCCUGAUCCUGAUCCUAAAACUAAUCCUGAUCCUAAAGCUAAUCCUGAUCCUAAUCCCAAUCCUAAAACUAAUCCUGAUCCUGGUCCUAACCGUAAUCCUAAAACUAAUCCUGAUCCUGAUGCUAAAAUCAAUUUUGAUCCUAAAACUAAUCCUGAUCCUAAAACUAUACCUGAUCCUAAUCCCGGACCUAAAACUAAUCCUGAUCCUGGUCCUAACCCUAAUCCUAAUCCUAAAACUGCUCCUGAUCCUGCCUCUAACCCCAAAUCCCAAAUCCAAUUUGGGAUUUUCCCGAUCCCAAUUUUUGGGGUCCCACCUCGAGCAGGAGCGGCCCCAGGGACUCCUUCUCGAUGA